GAACAGAAAUCUCGUGUG
RNAcentral lists this small nuclear RNA (18 nucleotides) under Arabidopsis thaliana (thale cress). RNAcentral's name for it is "snRNA_09706". The record is from RNAcentral. Lineage: Eukaryota; Viridiplantae; Streptophyta; Magnoliopsida; Brassicales; Brassicaceae.